Molecule: ribosomal RNA, 275 nt
Filed under: uncultured bacterium
Lineage: Bacteria
Description: partial 16S ribosomal RNA
Rfam family: Bacterial small subunit ribosomal RNA
Source: RNAcentral
UUUCCUACGGGGGGCAGCAGUGAGGAAUAUUGGUCAAUGGCCGGGAGGCUGAACCAGCCAAGUCGCGUGAGGGAAGACGGCCCUACGGGUUGUAAACCUCUUUUGUCAGGGAGCAAGGUGCAGGUCGGGACCUGCUGUGAGAGUACCCGAAGAAAAAGCAUCGGCUAACUCCGUGCCAGCAGCCGCGGUAAUACGGAGGAUGCGAGCGUUAUCCGGAUUUAUUGGGUUUAAAGGGUGCGUAGGCGGUCCGUUAAGUCAGCGGUAAAAUUGCGGGG